UAAAACCAGCUCUUCAAGAGGUCGGGAUAAUUAUUGGGCUUAAAGUGUCCGUAGCCGGUUUAGUAAGUUCCUGGUAAAAUCGGGUAGCUUAACUAUCUGCAUGCUAGGAAUACUGUUAUACUAGAGGGCGGGAGAGGUCUGAGGUACUACAGGGGUAGGGGUGAAAUCUUAUAAUCCUUGUAGGACCACCAGUGGCGAAGGCGUCAGACUAGAACGCGCCUGACAGUGAGGGACGAAAGCCAGGGGAGCGAACCGGAUUAGAUACCCGGGUAGUCCUGGCCGUAAACGAUGCACACUAGGUGUUGGUAUGGCUAUGAGCCAUAUCAGUGCCGAAGGGAAACCAUUAAGUGUGCCGCCUGGGAAGUACGGUCGCAAGGCUA
RNAcentral lists this ribosomal RNA (380 nucleotides) under uncultured archaeon. RNAcentral's name for it is "bacterial SSU rRNA". It matches the Rfam family "Archaeal small subunit ribosomal RNA", at positions 471 to 851 of the family's 1478-position model. The record is from RNAcentral.